Molecule: long non-coding RNA, 3099 nt
Filed under: Homo sapiens (human)
Lineage: Eukaryota; Metazoa; Chordata; Mammalia; Primates; Hominidae
Description: HSALNT0012729
Source: RNAcentral
AGCGGCCCCAGGCCGGGCCGGAGAGCGCCGAGCCGCCAGGCAGUGGAGGAAGAGAGGAGGAGGACCCGGAGUCUCGCCGCGGGAGGGUGCCCAGGGCGAGGGCGUGCGAGGGGGAGUGACUCCGCGCGCGAGGGGCAGCAGCACCUGCUUGAGACCAAGCCCGGCGACCUGGCAAGAAUGUCAAUCACAUAUCCAGAAUAUCACCUCCUUGGGCACAGCCAGGGCAUGGUCCAUUGAAAAUGUUCCUGAUUGCUGGAAGCUGACGGCUCACCAUAAAAGCCAAAAUGGGGACCUGUCAAAAAUGUUUUAGCCAAACUAUGGCUUGGCUCAGGAAGAUGCCAAGACCAAAGGCUGCUGAACUUUAAGUAUAAACUUGCAUGAAAAGCACAUUGCAGGUCUGAGACAGUGGAGGCUUAGUGGUGAGAACAUGAGCUCUGGAUAGACCUGGCUUCAAGUCUUGGCUCUGUCAUUCACCAGCUGUGUGAAUUUGGGCAAACCACUUUUCUUCUCUGAUGCUCAGUUCCCUCACCUAGCAAAAUGGGUUAUAAUGAUGGCAUCAACUCAUAAGGUUCAUGAGGACUGAGCUAGAUAAUGCAAACAACAUGUUUCAUAUACAAUAAUAAAUAAAAAUGUUGGCUGUUAUAAUAUUGUCACUGAGUCUACAUGUAUCUGAAACUAGCUCUUUUAAAUCCUGGGUACAGCUUUACAAGCAGUAUUGUGUAGUUUAGACAGAUCACCUGAGUUCUUUCUAUGUAAUUAUUGUUUCUACUGAACCUUGGUAAAUGUGUGAAAUCACAGAAGUUUGUCCCUAGACACUCCCCUCACCCCACUGGCUCCUCUCUCCAUUCUGUGCAACCCCAUUUCUGCAGCCUUGAGCUUCAGCCCAUUUCUCUCCAUUUCCUCCUCAUUAGCAAGAACUGAUAAAAUUAUUUGAACUGAUAUGUAAGUGACCAUCUCAUCCAGAGAUAUAGUAUUCACAUUUUAGUAGGUCAGAGCCUUAAGCCAAGGCAGUGAAAUAGAGUGGAUGGUACUUCAAGCAUUCAUCAAAGUAAUGGGGAAAGUUUGGGGUCCCAGGAGACUCUUCCCAAUUCCACAGAGUCCUGCCCAUUCAUAAAACUGGUACUAUUGAUGCAUUAUAAGCAACAAGGUGGUCCGUGUUUGAAUUCUGCAGCUGGAAAAUCAAGUCUCCAGCUUUUGCAAAAGUGUUGUAAUAGGGAAACUUGGACACUAAUUUUAUAUACCAACCUCUUCUUGGUAAAGAGACAUAGCUCAUGAGCACCAAGGCCUUUCCAGCAUUGCACAUCUAUGAUACUUAUACUCAAGUGCAUUUUUUUCUUCAGAGCUCAAGGCUAGAGUUGGGUGUUUUUGCCUCACUGGGUUUGUAGGAGACUCAGCUACAAAGUCAUUAAUUGCUUUGGUGAAUCAACAAGUAAAGAAAGACAGUCCAGCUAUUGUCCCCACACUGCAAAAUCAUAAGAGGCUUCUGGACUUCUCCACAAAAUCCUCAUUAAAGAUGAGUCCUCAUGGCUCUUACAGAAUUCUUUAUUAUGUCCUUUGUGCUGAGACUGCAAGGUAAAGAAAGAAAAAAGGGAAAUAACUAAAUUUGUUAUCAUGGAAAAUUUCAAACAUACAAAAGAUGAAAGAAUUGUAUAAUAUACCCCCAUGAACUUGUCAUUUAGCUUUGAAAGUUACCAACUCAUGGCCAAUCAUUUUUCAUCUGUACCCUACUCACACACUCCCCCACCAUAAUUUUGAAACAAAUUCCAAAUAUAAUUUCAUCUGUAAAUAUUUCUGUGAUUGCACCUUUGUUAUGGCCAACAAAAUCCAUCUUUCUAGAAGAGAAGUCAUUCUUCCCUCCCUCCAUGAUGCUAAGAACAUUUGGCCAGUACCUGCAUCCAUGCCCAGGAGUGGUCUCUGGGUUAGGCAAGCUUGAGGGUUUACUGAAUGUUAUCCAAAGUUUGUCCUUUUCCUUGGGUAGAAAAAGGAACCCAUAAAAUGUCUGGUAGAGGUGCCACUGUGUGCAAGCUUUUUUUUUUUUUUUUUUUUUUUUUUGUCAGCAGGGAUGAUGCUCAAUAGCUGUGAUGAGGUCCAAGCUGAGAGAAAAGAGUCAUGAUCAUGAAUCCCAACUGGAUUCAUCAUUUUCCACAUACUUUACUUCAUUUAGCUUUCACCAAUUCUCAUGUUAGUUCCAUUUUACAGAUAAGAAAACUAAGACCUAAGCUCACCCAGCUAGUAGUUACUUGUGGCAGAGACAGACUAGAUGCCAAUCAAAUUCAGUUCCUCUUUUCUGUAGAUACAGUUAGAUUACUUUCCCAGGUUCUCUUGCAGUUAGGUUUGGUCAUCUGACUAAGUUCUAGCCAAAGUAAUAUAGGCCAGUCCCAUGAAAAACAUCUAGGGCAAUUUAGCAUGUUCUUUCUUUCUCCAUCCACUGGCUGAAUGGAAAAAAUUUCAAGGGCUUAGAAGGGGACAGAGCCACAAGAAGGAAGGAACUUGGGUCCCUGGGUGACUAUGUGAAGUAGAGGUCCCUCCCAACUUCCUUUGAACUGUGAAAUACGCAAAAUAAAUAAAUAAAUAAAUUUUUAUUAUGUGAAACUGCUGAAAUGUGGGUGAUGUAUGUUCAAGUAGUAAUGCCUACCCUGACCAAUACAGUGGCAUAGAUGGGAUUUAAACCCUCAAUCUGACUAUGCCAGUGUCCAAAGUCUUCCCCUAAACCACACUGCCUCCAGGCACAACAAAUAAGAAUUGCUUAUAAGAAUCACCUACAUGCUCAGCAUGUGAUAGGACUGUCUUCAAGGAGAUCUCGCAUCUUAGAUUUGUGCUAAUAUGAUAGCCACUAGCCACAUGGGGCUGUUUAAAUUAAAGUUUAAAUUAAUUAAAAUAAAGUUAAAAAUUCAGUUUCUUAAUUGCAGGCUCACAUUUCAAGUGUGCAGUAGUCUUAUGUAGCUAAUGGCUACCACAUUGGAAUGUGCAGACAGAGAACAUUUCCGUCAUCAUGGAAAGUGCUGUUGGAUAAUGCUGUCUUAGAUAGACCUUCAUUCACAACGCACCCCUCCCCAGACCCCUGCAGAAAAGCUGGAAGAAGACGGGGAUGCUGCUCAC